AUUGAACGCUGGCGGCAGGCUUAACACAUGCAAGUCGAGCGGUAACAUUUCUAGCUUGCUAGAAGAUGACGAGCGGCGGACGGGUGAGUAAUACUUAGGAAUCUACCUAGUAGUGGGGGAUAGCUCGGGGAAGCUCGAAUUAAUACCGCAUACGACCUAUGGGAGAAAGGGGGCAACUUGUUGCUCUCGCUAUUAGAUGAGCCUAAGUCGGAUUAGCUAGAUGGUGGGGUAAAGGCCUACCAUGGCGACGAUCUGUAGCUGGUCUGAGAGGAUGAUCAGCCACACCGGGACUGAGACACGGCCCGGACUCCUACGGGAGGCAGCAGUGGGGAAUAUUGGACAAUGGGGGAAACCCUGAUCCAGCCAUGCCGCGUGUGUGAAGAAGGCCUUUUGGUUGUAAAGCACUUUAAGCAGUGAAGAAGACUCUUCGGUUAAUACCCGGAGACGAUGACAUUAGCUGCAGAAUAAGCACCGGCUAACUCUGUGCCAGCAGCCGCGGUAAUACAGAGGGUGCAAGCGUUAAUCGGAAUUACUGGGCGUAAAGCGAGCGUAGGUGGCUUGAUAAGUCAGAUGUGAAAUCCCCGGGCUUAACCUGGGAACUGCAUCUGAUACUGUUAGGCUAGAGUAGGUGAGAGGAAGGUAGAAUUCCAGGUGUAGCGGUGAAAUGCGUAGAGAUCUGGAGGAAUACCGAUGGCGAAGGCAGCCUUCUGGCAUCAUACUGACACUGAGGCUCGAAAGCGUGGGUAGCAAACAGG
This 755-nucleotide ribosomal RNA is filed under the name uncultured Psychrobacter sp. Its description in RNAcentral is "bacterial SSU rRNA". It matches the Rfam family "Bacterial small subunit ribosomal RNA", at positions 28 to 776 of the family's 1533-position model. Lineage: Bacteria; Pseudomonadati; Pseudomonadota; Gammaproteobacteria; Moraxellales; Moraxellaceae. The record is from RNAcentral.